RNAcentral lists this ribosomal RNA (281 nucleotides) under uncultured Alistipes sp. RNAcentral's name for it is "partial 16S ribosomal RNA". It matches the Rfam family "Bacterial small subunit ribosomal RNA", at positions 62 to 339 of the family's 1533-position model. Lineage: Bacteria; Pseudomonadati; Bacteroidota; Bacteroidia; Bacteroidales; Rikenellaceae. The record is from RNAcentral.
UCGAGGGGCAUCACGAGGUAGCAAUACUUUGGUGGCGACCGGCGCACGGGUGCGUAACGCGUAUGUAACCUACCUAUAACAGGGGCAUAACACUGAGAAAUUGGUACUAAUACCCCAUAAUAUCAUAGAAGGCAUCUUUUAUGGUUGAAAAUUCCGAUGGUUAGAGAUGGGCAUGCGUUGUAUUAGCUAGUUGGUGGGGUAACGGCCUACCAAGGCGACGAUCGGUAGCCGACCUGAGAGGGUGAUCGGCCACAUUGGGACUGAGACACGGCCCAAACUCC